Molecule: ribosomal RNA, 442 nt
Filed under: uncultured Comamonadaceae bacterium
Lineage: Bacteria; Pseudomonadati; Pseudomonadota; Betaproteobacteria; Burkholderiales; Comamonadaceae
Description: bacterial SSU rRNA
Rfam family: Bacterial small subunit ribosomal RNA
Source: RNAcentral
UGAUGUGGUUUAAUUCGAUGCAACGCGAAAACCUUACCCACCUUUGACAUGUACGGAACUUUACCAGAGAUGGUUUGGUGCUCGAAAGAGAGCCGUAACACAGGUGCUGCAUGGCUGUCGUCAGCUCGUGUCGUGAGAUGUUGGGUUAAGUCCCGCAACGAGCGCAACCCUUGUCAUUAGUUUGCUACGAAAGGGCACUCUAAUGAGACUGCCGGUGACAAACCGGAGGAAGGUGGGGAUGACGUCAAGUCCUCAUGGCCCUUAUAGGUGGGGCUACACACGUCAUACAAUGGCUGGUACAAAGGGUUGCCAACCCGCGAGGGGGAGCCAAUCCCAUAAAGCCAGUCGUAGUCCGGAUCGCAGUCUGCAACUCGACUGCGUGAAGUCGGAAUCGCUAGUAAUCGUGGAUCAGCAUGUCACGGUGAAUACGUUCCCGGGUCUU